Gambusia affinis (western mosquitofish) is the source of this 567-nucleotide long non-coding RNA. RefSeq lists it as uncharacterized. Lineage: Eukaryota; Metazoa; Chordata; Actinopteri; Cyprinodontiformes; Poeciliidae. The record is from RefSeq and is a predicted model, not a curated record. The transcript has 3 exons.
GCGGCUUCCUUAAGCGCCGCGAGUCCGCGAGAUUUAAAAGUUUAAUGUUAGUAAGUGGUUUUAAUGUUAGCCCUUUUUAUGUUGCGUUUUACUAGGCAGUACUUACUGUAAGAUGGAGAAAAAAAUAUUCAAUGACUGGCGCCGAAAUUGAAUUAUGUCUACUAGCUCUGUUAUGAACGAGACAUGGACGCUGUUCCGCUAGCUUCUCAGUUAACGGAUCAGCUGAGAAGCAUUCUACUGAUGAACCAAAGGUUUCUGCACCGUGUUCUUCAUGGACUAUGAUGAGCUGCCACUGAACCUGCAGCACCGGAAGCGCUCGAGAACUUUCUCUGUACUGCCUGAGGUUCAUCUUUCCACUUAUGGACAGCGGAGAGAAGGAGCCUGAAAGUUCAUUUGUCCAAAAUUGGGUUUCCAUCGGAUCAUCCUAUCAUAGCUGCGGACAUUCAGCUCGCUGCGGGCCACCUGUGCUUGAAGGCUGCUGCUGAGGCGCGAGAGGGUGGGGCUGCUUCCGCCAGCCCUGUCCGGAGCCGACCGCGAGGCGGCCCCCGAUUCCUCGUCGCCGGCCUC